CUUGGAACACAAUACCCUCCUGGCAGGGAGCCGAGGGAGAGAGCGCCAAGCCGAGAAGUCGAGAAGCAAUUGAGAUAAUUGAGGACCCGGAUUAAUCCAGGUUCUCUUCCGCUUAGCCUGGUGUCAGGCAGGCUGUCAGGCAGGCGGAAGGCACAGCUCAGAACCAUGCCCUUCCAGGCUCCGAUUUCACACUCUGGGCGGCUUGUCUGUCUGUCUGUUUCCUUAAUCCAGAUCUCACUUUCAUGAACCACAGGGGACCGGGGUGGGGGUGGGGGGACACUAUAAUGUUCCUGCCACAGGGCACCAGGCACCUGGGCAAAUUGAGGACAAGGCUCAAAACACCUUGUACUGAUCAGGGUAGUGAUUUUGUGACCUCAUAACCAACAGGCUUGAGUCUGUGAGACCCCCACCUCCAACUGAUUGAUUGUGCAUAGGAAGCUGGCAGCACUCAGAGCCCUGCUACGGGAGGAAGGUGGGAUUGUAAGCCAACCAGGGGGAAGGCAGGAACCAGUGGAGGGACUGCAAGAGAGGUGUCAGCCCCAAGCAUGCUGUAUACAUGAAUUUCAGGUCUUCACUAUGUGGCUCCAGUCAUAGCCCAACAAGAAAGGUUUCAGCAGAGAUUUCAGCACAGACAUUAAGGGAGAGGGCGCAGAAAGCAAGUAUGCACACCAGCACACUGACGGGGCUUCCUGAGAGAUGCUCACCAGGACCAGCUUCGUAAAGAAAUCUCAGCGUUCCAAAUUCCCUUUAAAAAACAUAUUUAUUCCAUUAUACAGGGUUGUGUAAGAUAUUUCC
Molecule: long non-coding RNA, 795 nt
Filed under: Mus spicilegus (steppe mouse)
Lineage: Eukaryota; Metazoa; Chordata; Mammalia; Rodentia; Muridae
Description: lncRNA (ENSMSIG00000023033.1)
Source: RNAcentral